This is a long non-coding RNA of Oxyura jamaicensis (ruddy duck), 1440 nucleotides long. RefSeq lists it as uncharacterized. Lineage: Eukaryota; Metazoa; Chordata; Aves; Anseriformes; Anatidae. The transcript has 5 exons. The record is from RefSeq and is a predicted model, not a curated record.
UCUGCAGUGUUCCCGCAGCUUCCUGCCUCAUGUUUGCUUUCUAUUUUCAUAUCCAUGGGAAAGGAAUCUGCUCUAGCGUGGGGCUGCUAUCCUGCCUGCGCCAGCUGGGGCUGCCACCUUUAGCUUAGGCCACAGAAUGCAUGCCACUGAAGAAACAAUUUAUUUCCUGAAACCACGCCACCUUCAGCAAUUUCAAAUAGCUUUAAAUUAUGUUGCACACUCCACUGAGAUAAGUCAAAUACACGCAUGAGAGCUGCAUGCACUUUGAAAGAUUCGCCUGCCCACUCUGUCAUUUUCUUCCUUCCUUUUUCCAUUCGUCUUUUUGCCGUCUCUGACUGCAGCUGGACAACUGCUCUUCUAGCCUGGAGGCCAAGUUGGAGGACCCUAAACCCAGCCACUUCAUGGCCUGUUGUUACAAAGGGCACAGCAACUGGAAGUAAAACAAAGGUCUUCAAAUUUACAAGAAGUUCUCCAUUUGCUGAGUGCUUUUCUCUAAGGAAAUUACUGCUUUUUCAUCUGCCAUUCAUCUCAUCCAUAUAGGAACAAAGUGGAUUUUCAGACUCUUGGCCCAGAGUUGGAGGCAGAGGAGCCCGUACGUUCAGAUGAAUGGUAAUGAGCAUUGUCAGAGAGGCAGGAAAAUUGAGUCCCUGGCUCUAGCUGCUGGGCUGAGAGCUGCAGGAGCUAAUUGUGUCAAUGGUAAUGAGACCAAGCAGGCAGCAGAUGCUCACGUGCCUUUACAAUCCAAAUCCCACCAACAAAUUCCUCCCACAGAAACUUUGAGGGACGUCUUGGCACCCUGGAGAUGGUGAUAGACCCAGUCCCAGCCACAUGCCACCUGCUAGAGCUAUUGUUUAAAAGAGAAGGAGAAAAAAAAAAGCCUAUUAUGAUAACAAAGUUGUUUGCUGUCUCUUGCAAUGACUUUAUGGCACCGGUUUUACCAUACUGCAGCUAUUGAAAAAAAAAAAAAAAAAAAAAAGAAAGAGGAACAUCUGAUUCUUUAAAGAGAAACAUUUGUAUUGAGACUGUUAACAACUUACUUGGGAAGCCGGAUGUUCAGUAUAUCUUUCAUAUUCUGCUGAUAAACCAUGCCUGCCUUUUUCCCAUUACAGCUCCCACUGUGCAGGCUUCCUACAGCAGGUUUACAUUUCCACAUGUUUUCCCAUGACAUUGAAUCAGGCAAGCAUUUUUUUCCUUUUUUUUUUUUUUUUCUCAGAAAAAUCAAGAAUGAAAAAUGCAGAUACCCAUGUGUAGUGCUGUAUAAAUAUUUAUUGUGAAAUAAAAUAAACAACAUAUUUGGUACUGAUUCACAGAGCAGGCUGGGUGGUGAACUGUGCCUGACGUUUUGUAGGGAGGAAGGCCGUUAGCACCCAGGUUCCCUGACUGGCCAUUAUUUGUAAUGCAAGCUUUCUAAAUGCUGCAGCAGGGAAAAGUUCAGAUUCU